UCCACUUGAGUGACGAUCGGCUUCUCGGAGGAGCCUCCAUCUUCUCGCUUUUAGCGACCACCGGUGUUCUGGCGGCUCGUGUUCCUCGGUGCCGUGUGGUUCUGCGCGGGCGGGAAGCAUUUUCGCAGCAGGUUUGUUCGGCCUCUUGGCGGCAGCGGCAGGAACAACAGAUCCACGUACGUUACCAUCGAUGUUGUUCCCUCCUAUUUCACGGCUGUGGGCGUAGGCCGUAGCUAAAAUAAAAUGAUUAGCUUAUAAUAAGUUAAAAAUUAUUAUGUUUUUAACGUAUAUAUGUGUUAUUUUUUUAUUAAUAACAACUAAUCUCCCCGUCUUAAAUUAAAAUUCGUUUUAGUUAAGUAAUGGGUUCAUACGAUACAUGAUGUUUAUGUUUUAUAUAUGUGUGGUUCAUCUUCAUCCAUAUAAAUAUAGACAUAAAAACAAACAGCUAAAAUGACUACUAUUUUGAGACAGAGAAUAUUAUAUAUCGUAUAUAUACACGUAUAUUCUAUUUGUUGACAUUAUAGUUAUAGUUAUAUAUGUAUUAGCUCCUCGCCUAGCCACCCUCAACCCUGUUUUUUUUUGCAUUUUAGCUAUUUUUUGAAACAAAUUCAUAAUUAGCCCCCUGGCGGAAGUAAACCAGUUUUUGAACCUCUACUCGGCGCCAAGACCCGUGGCGUCGAGGUGAUGUCCACGCUGGCACGUGCGCAUUGCGCUGGCUAUUGAUGUGGCAGACCUCGGCGCCACAUAUCUUGGAACCGAGAUCUGUUAUAAGAACAAUCGUUGGUCUCUUCUCAAGCAUUUUCCUCCUCCGUCGUUGUUCUCUCUAUCCGCGCUCCCCGCCGCGCCCCGCAUGAACGUCGGCCCACCGCCACGCGCCAUUGACUCCGCCGAACGAUAUUGCCACCGCGCCCGCAACCCCGUUCAUCGUGAUCAUCGUCAGAAACUCGCCCCCGACAGCGCGCGUGAAGGUAUGUACAUGUUAGUUUAUGAUAUAGUUAGUUAGUUAGGUAGGUAGGUACUCACUCUGGUGUCCUAUUAAUUGUUGUUCAGGACAACGACACAGUCUCCAAAAUAUAGUUUUGACCAAUGUUUUUUUAAAAAAAAUACAAAUAAACUCUUAAUACAUUUAUACUUUUAUAAAAGUAAAUUUUAAGACAAAUCGGUGCAUAUAAAUAUUAGGUUUCAAAACUAAAUAACAAAAUAGUUAUUUAUAGUCAAAGUUUUAUAAGUUUGAUUCGAACCUUGUCUAAAACAACAAUCAAUAGGACACCAUAGAGAGUUUGUUAGUUAGUUUAGUUUAGUAUAUAGUUAGCAUGCAAAUUUGUUAGUCAGUUAGUUUAGUUAGCUACCAAGUUUGUUACUUACUUAGUUAGUUGGUAAUUUAGUUAGCAAUUUAGUUUGUUAGGUUACAUAUAUAGUUAUUAAUUUAGUUAGGUUACAUACAUGUCACAUUUUUGUUAGGAAUUUAGUUAGUAAACUUCGUAGUUAGUUUCUAAAGUUGUUGGUUAGCUUGUAAUUUUGUUAUUUAGUUUGUGCAGUGAGGUAGAUAGCUUUUUAGUUGUUAUUAUAUGUACUGAAUGUGCAUGUCAGCCAUCGUGCUAUUCGUCUGUUAGUGAAUGUGUAUGUCAGUCAUCAUGUUGUUCGCUUCUUUGCAGGUUUUAGAAACCUCCCCGUUUAGGGGAAGUGUCGUCGAAUUUUUUUACUGAGAUUACUAUGUUACUUUUUUGCAGCCAGGAGAUCCUUCGAUUCCACCGCCAACUGCAAAUUGACUCCACCGUGACCUCAAGUAUACCCCAUUUUCGUAUCGUACUCAUAGAUUACGUAACUCUGUUAGACGUGGUUAGUUAGUAGUUAGUAUUUAGUUAUUAGUUAGUAAUUAGCUAAUAAUUAAUUAUUACUUAGUACAUAGUGUUAGACAUUAGUAGAUCGAUAUUGAGUAAUGAAUCCGUCUAUGAAAUAGAUAGACAACCUAGUCACCCUGUAUCAUAGAGAAAGUGUGGAGGAAGAUUUUUA
Molecule: long non-coding RNA, 2013 nt
Filed under: Zea mays
Lineage: Eukaryota; Viridiplantae; Streptophyta; Magnoliopsida; Poales; Poaceae
Description: long non-coding RNA (ZMAY_LNC003047)
Source: RNAcentral